AAUUGCCAUCAUUUUUGGGCACUUUAUUGGGACUGCCGGUGACAAACCGGAGGAAGGUGGGGAUGACGUCAAGUCCUCAUGGCCCUUACGGGCUGGGCUACACACGUGCUACAAUGGCGGUGACAAUGGGACGCAAAAGGGCAACCUCUCGCAAAUCUCAAAAAGCCGUCUCAGUUCGGAUUGGGCUCUGCAACUCGAGCCCAUGAAGUUGGAAUCGCUAGUAAUCGUGGAUCAGCAUGCCACGG
This 245-nucleotide ribosomal RNA is filed under the name Cryptomonas paramaecium. Its description in RNAcentral is "Cryptomonas paramecium partial Bacterial small subunit ribosomal RNA". It matches the Rfam family "Bacterial small subunit ribosomal RNA", at positions 1113 to 1362 of the family's 1533-position model. The record is from RNAcentral. Lineage: Eukaryota; Cryptophyceae; Cryptomonadales; Cryptomonadaceae.